Molecule: long non-coding RNA, 261 nt
Organism: Helianthus annuus (common sunflower)
Lineage: Eukaryota; Viridiplantae; Streptophyta; Magnoliopsida; Asterales; Asteraceae
Exons: 3
Source: RefSeq, a predicted model, not a curated record
GCGACCAGGGGGAGACAACAAGGGUGAAACCCUAGUUCAAGUCUAAACCCCAAAAUUGAAGCUCAAAUCAAACCCAAAUUGUCUGCAUGAGUACAAAUUCGUGGUCACCUGGUCGAGGGGGAUCUCAAGUUUGACGCUUGGCAAGCUAGGUGGAAGCUUGGGAAGGAAGCGGGUCAAACUAAUCGGGAGUGAAGGAAAAUGCAUAGACAGGAUGCAAGGUACACUUUGGAUGCCGGAAGACGAUCAAGCUCAUCGAAGAAC